This 495-nucleotide ribosomal RNA is filed under the name uncultured bacterium. Its description in RNAcentral is "partial 16S ribosomal RNA". It matches the Rfam family "Bacterial small subunit ribosomal RNA", at positions 28 to 507 of the family's 1533-position model. The record is from RNAcentral.
GACGAACCUUGGCGGCGUGCCUAAUACAUGCAAGUAAAACGCUGAAGGCGGCGCUUGCUUCUCUGGAUGAGUUGCGAACGGGUGAGUAACGCGUAGGUAACCUGCCUCGUAGCGGGGGAUAACUUUUGGAAACGAUAGCUAAUACCGCCUAAGAGUAGAUGUUGCAUGACCUUUGCUCAAACGGUGCAAUUGCAUCACUACCAGAUGGACCUGCGUUGUAUUUGCUAGUUGGUGGGGUAACGGCUUACCAAGGCGACGAUACAUAGCCGACCUGAGAGGGUGAUCGUCCAGACUGGGACUGUGACACGGCCCAGACGCGUACGUGAGGGAGCAGGAGGGAAUCUUCGGCAAUGGACGGAAUUCUGACCGAGCAACGCCGCGUGAGUGAAGAAGGUGUUCGGAUCGUAAAGCACGGUUGUAAGAGAGGGUCAGGUGUUAGAGUGGAAAGUGAGCAGUGUGGCGGUACCUUACCAGAAGGGGUCGGCUAACUACGUG